AGACCGAUAGCGAACAAGUACAGUGAUGGAAAGAUGAAAAGAACUUUGAAAAGAGAGUGAAAAAGUACGUGAAAUUGUUGAAAGGGAAGGGCUUGAGAUCAGACUUGGUAUUUUGCAUGCUGCUCUCUCGGGGGCGGCCGCUGCGGUUUACCGGGCCAGCAUCGGUUUGGAGCGGCAGGAUAAUGGCGGAGGAAUGUGGCACGGCUUCUGCUGUGUGUUAUAGCCUCUGACGAUGCUGCCAGCCUAGACCGAGGACUGCGGUUUUUAACCUAGGAUGUUGGCAUAAUGAUCUUAAGUCGCCCGUCUUGAAACACGGACCAAG
Molecule: ribosomal RNA, 322 nt
Filed under: Candida albicans
Lineage: Eukaryota; Fungi; Ascomycota; Pichiomycetes; Serinales; Debaryomycetaceae
Description: LSU rRNA
Rfam family: Eukaryotic large subunit ribosomal RNA
Source: RNAcentral